GACGAACGCUGGCGGCGUGCUUAACACAUGCAAGUGGAGCGACGAACCUGGCUUCGGCCAGGGGCAGAGCCGCGAACGGGUGAGUAACACGUGGGUAACGUGCCCCAAUGACUGGGACAACCCGGGGAAACCCGGGCUAAUACCGGAUGUGCUCCUUCCACAUCAGUGGAUUGAGUAAAGGUAGCUUCGGCUUCCGCAUUGGGAUCGGCCCGCGGCGCAUUAGCUUGUUGGUGGGGUAACGGCCACCAAGGCUUCGAUGCGUAGCUGGUCUGAGAGGACGAUCAGCCACACUGGGACUGAGACACGGCCCAGACUCCUACGGGAGGCAGCAGGUGGGGAAUCUUGCGCAAUGCACGAAAGUGUGACGCAGCAACGCCGCGGUGGGGGAAGACGGCC
This 396-nucleotide ribosomal RNA is filed under the name uncultured bacterium. Its description in RNAcentral is "bacterial SSU rRNA". It matches the Rfam family "Bacterial small subunit ribosomal RNA", at positions 28 to 416 of the family's 1533-position model. The record is from RNAcentral.